GACGAACGCUGGCGGCGCACCUAAGACAUGCAAGUCGAACGCAGAGGGGGGACCCUCUGAGUGGCGGACGGGUGAGUAACACGUAGCGAACCUGUCCUGGAGCGGGGGAUAGCCCGGGGAAACGCGGGGUAAUCCGCCAUACGCUCCUGCGGGGAGGGUCCGCGGGAGGAAAGGGGAGCGAGGCUUCUCACUCCAGGAGGGGGCUGCGGCGGAUUAGCUAGUUGGUGGGGUAGCGGCCCACCAAGGCUGCGAUCCGUAGCUGGUCUGAGAGGACGGC
Molecule: ribosomal RNA, 277 nt
Filed under: uncultured bacterium
Lineage: Bacteria
Description: partial 16S ribosomal RNA
Rfam family: Bacterial small subunit ribosomal RNA
Source: RNAcentral